RNAcentral lists this ribosomal RNA (356 nucleotides) under uncultured Selenomonas sp. RNAcentral's name for it is "partial 16S ribosomal RNA". The record is from RNAcentral. Lineage: Bacteria; Bacillati; Bacillota; Negativicutes; Selenomonadales; Selenomonadaceae.
GGAGUCUGGGCCGUGUCUCAGUCCCAAUGUGGCCGUUCAUCCUCUCAGACCGGCUACUGAUCGUCGCCUUGGUGAGCCGUUACCCCACCAACUAGCUAAUCAGACGCAGGCCCAUCUCUAAGUGAUAGCUUACAAGUAGAGGCCAUCUUUAAUGAAUUCUCCAUGCGGAAAACUCACAACAUUCGGUAUUAGCAGCCCUUUCGGGCUGUUGUCCCCAUCUUAGAGGCAGGUUGCCUACGCGUUACUCACCCGUUUGCCACUAGACUUUUCAAAAGCAAGCUUCCAAUCAGUCCCGUUCGACUUGCAUGUGUUAAGCACGCCGCCAGCGUCGUCCUCGAGCCACGGAUCAAACUACU